RNAcentral lists this unclassified non-coding RNA (329 nucleotides) under soil metagenome. RNAcentral describes it as "partial contains 5.8S ribosomal RNA, internal transcribed spacer 2, and large subunit ribosomal RNA". The stretch from base 1 to 120 matches the Rfam family "5.8S ribosomal RNA", at positions 35 to 154 of the family's 154-position model. The record is from RNAcentral.
GAUGAAGAACGCAGCGAAAUGCGAUAAGUAAUGUGAAUUGCAGAAUUCAGUGAAUCAUCGAAUCUUUGAACGCACAUUGCGCCCCUUGGUAUUCCGAGGGGCAUGCCUGUUCGAGCGUCAUUAUAACCCCUCAAGCUCAGCUUGGUGUUGGGGCCUGCUGCACUGGCAGCCCUUAAAAUCAUUGGCGGCGCCAUCUGGCUCUAAGCGUAGUAAUUCUUCUCGCUAUGGAGUCCUGGUGGAUGCUUGCCAUCAACCCCCAAUUUUUCUAUGGUUGACCUCGGAUCAGGUAGGGAUACCCGCUGAACUUAAGCAUAUCAAUAAGCGGAGGA